CUAAUUCAUGCCUCUCUCCUCUCUUCUCUUCUUCUUCUUUACUCCCGCCCAAAAUACUUCCCCAUAUUUUGCCCAAAUAAUGGGCUCUCGUUCAGCCCCAAUAGAAGAUCUUAGUGUUGAUUGAGGGUGCAAAAACGUUGUUCUUUCUCUUAGUCUCACUUUUCGCAAAAACAUAUGCAUAAGACAUGUCAAUUAUGACCUACGAUGAAACGAACGGGCAAUCGUUGAGGUCUUGCGAUGAGAUGAUAUCCAUUACGAGUCAUGGCUAGUAAAGUACAGAAAAUCAUACAACGCUUUGGGAGAAAAGGAGAAGAGGUUCGAGAUCUUUUAGGAUAAUUUAAGGUACAUAGAUAAGCAGAACAGCAUGGCAAAUCGGACCCAUAAACUGGGUUUGAACUGAUUCACUGAUCUCACCAGUGAGGAGAACUGGUCCAUGUAUUUGGUGCUAGGAAGACGAAGAGUGAUCAAUAUAAACCGAAAGAUGGCAACAACUUGCCAGGAUCCAUUGACUGGAGAGACAAAGGCGCGGCCGCUUUGGUGAAAGAUCAAGGCAACUGCGGUAUGCCCUUUUAUUUAUUAUUCCAUAGAAAAUUUCUCAAUUAGAUUUUAUACAGCUUUAAAGUAUAGUGAAAAUUAAUCCAUUUUGUUGAAUAAAAAAAAAAAAAGGGAAUUGGUCCAAAUUAAUCCAUUUUAUGGUGAUUAGGCUUAAUCAGCUGGCUUAGUGGGAAAUUAUGGUUGUUCUGUCAAAUAACUUGGUCCAGCAAGUAAUUGAGCAUACUAUAAAAUAAAAUAAAAACCAUUGAGGCUGGAGAAAUCGGUAUGGAUUUAAUCCUUCUUCUUGGGUUUCAGUUUCUUACUUCUGAAUUUUUAUUACGGUUUAACAUCGUUUGAUUAAUUAGUUGUUCUAUUUUCCCCCUUUUGUUUUUGAUGUUUGAAGCCUUUAAUUAUGUC
RNAcentral lists this long non-coding RNA (951 nucleotides) under Olea europaea subsp. europaea. The record is from RNAcentral. Lineage: Eukaryota; Viridiplantae; Streptophyta; Magnoliopsida; Lamiales; Oleaceae.